CAUUCUGCAGUGCAAAAAUUCCUAUAAAAAUACCUUUUUUUGAGUCAUUAACAUAAAAUGAAGAAAAAAGCAGCAGCCAAGAAGAGAGAUGUUGAAAUUUAAGAGAGGAAAAGAGAGAAGAAAAAUCCACUGGAUACCUUAUGUGUAAUUCACCAAUCUGUUGGAACACUUCUGCCACGUGUGAAGAGUUUUGGCAGACCAAAUCCACAUGCCUGAAGUGAUGCCCACCAACAAAGACAUAAAAAUUUUCAACAUUUCAACAGCCAUGUUGGAAUCAUCUGCAGAAUACUGAAAGAGUGCCCAGUUGGAGAUUUCAUAAAAAUAACAGGCAAUCACACACGUUGCAGGAACUGUGUACAGUACUGAGAACACCCCAAUCUUGACCAUCAGUCUUUCUAACUUGUCUGUCUUUGUCCCAUCCUUUUGAAGAUUUGACCGAAUUUUGAACAAGGCCACCAAACCUGCAGCAAUGAACAAAGUUCCAAUCACCAAAUAAGUAAAGAGGGGAGCCACCACGAACCCGGUGAGGGCAUCGAGAUUUUGGUUUCCAACAUAGCACAGGCCAGUCAGUUCAUCUGCAUCCACCAGUCUCAUAAUCAAGAUGACAAUGGUUUUCACUGCGGGGAUGGCCCAGGCUGCAAUGUGGAAAUAAGAGCUGUGCAUUUCAAUGGCUUCGUGACCCCAUUUGAGUCCUGCUGCCAAAAACCAAGUGAGUGUCAGAAUAACCCACCAAAUGGAGCUGGCCAUUCCAAAAAAGUACAUCAGCAAGAAAAUUAUUGCACAUCCUGUGUUCUUAAGUCCUUCUUGGAUGAGAACAGGUUCUGCUGCCUCUUCAAAAUCACAGGAUAUCCUUUCCCGGCCUACAGUCAGCCUGACAAUAUAAGCAAUGCUAUAAAUAUUAUAGCACAUACUGAGGAAUAUGAUGGGGCGCUCAGGGUAGGAAAACCUAGAAGAAUCGAUCAGGAAGGUCAGUACUGUGAAGGCAGUGGAGAUGAAGCACAGGCUGGCCCACACAGCCAUCCAGAUAUCGGUGAACUCCUUGGCUGAGCGGCUGUAUAAGCCAGCAUCAUAGCCACACUUGAGCACACAGUUCAGGCUCCUUUUCACCCAGAUGUACUGAUCAGAAUUGGUUCCCACAGAGUGACACUCUUCCCCAGGCUGGAUGGGGGUUUUGUGAGGUAACGGCACCUCUUCAUCACCUGGCCCUUCCAUGCACAUGUGGUUGUGGUCGUUCUGUGGUGGGAAUUUGCUGCAGUUCAGACUCUCUGGCCAGGCAAAUCCGAAUUCCUUCAGGACGGGUUCACAGCGUCUCUUGACUGAAAGACACAUGCCGCCGCAUGGGCCAAUGGGGAUGUUGAUCUUCUCUGUGCACAUUGGCACAUAAACAGAACAAAGGAAGAACUGGAAAAGUAACAAAAUGAACAACAACAACAACAAAAAACAAUGACUUGGAAGUUUGACCAAAUGCUCCCACAAAGCUGAGUUGAAUGCUUCCAGGCAAUGUAGGUAUCUACUUUUAAACCAACCUAUGGGGAGUCUGUUUACUCUGACCUCAAACAAGGGUGCCUGAUAAUCCAUCAUUACACACUUUUCUUAGUUUGGCUUUAGUAAUCCUUUCCAGAAGAAUGUACAUAAAUAAAUAAAUAAAAUAAAUAGGGUCUGAAGAAUUGCAUAAGCCCUCUUUGCACAACACUUGAAAUAAAUCUUAAAAAACUGGCUUUCAAUCUCCUUCCAUUUUCGAAACUAUUUGAAAAAGCUAAAGAAACUAAUACGACUCAUUUAGGUGGUUUAUUUUUAUCCCCGUUUCUCAUUUUAAAAAGUUAAAA
Long non-coding RNA from Nomascus leucogenys (northern white-cheeked gibbon), 1826 nucleotides. RefSeq lists it as uncharacterized. NCBI's taxonomy places the organism in Eukaryota, Metazoa, Chordata, Mammalia, Primates, Hylobatidae. The transcript is spliced from 2 exons. The record is from RefSeq and is a predicted model, not a curated record.